RNAcentral lists this ribosomal RNA (330 nucleotides) under uncultured eukaryote. RNAcentral's name for it is "partial 18S ribosomal RNA". It matches the Rfam family "Eukaryotic small subunit ribosomal RNA", at positions 1470 to 1796 of the family's 1831-position model. The record is from RNAcentral.
CCCUUAGAUGUUCGGGGCCGCACGCGCGCUACACUGAAGGAAUCAGCACGUCUUUCUCCUUGUCCGAAAGGACUGGGUAACCCGCUGAACCUCCUUCGUGCUAGGGAUUGGGGCUUGUAAUUCUUCCCCAUGAACGAGGAAUUCCCAGUAAGCGCGAGUCAUAAGCUCGCGUUGAUUACGUCCCUGCCCUCUGUACACACCGCCCGUCGCUACUACCGAUUGGAUGGUUUAGUGAGAUCCUCGGAUUGGUCCCGGCGCGGCCUCUGGUCGUGCCGGAGUGCCGAAAAGAAUGUCGAACUUGAUCAUCUAGAGGAAGUAAAAGUCGUAACA